UUCGCCUACAUUCCUACAACCAUUGUUUUUAACGAUGUGUCGAUUGCAUUCGAUCACUGAGACAUCAAUCUUCUUGUAAUCUUCUUGCUCUAUCUCUAUCUAUCUCUCUCUCUCUUUCUCUCUCUUUUUCUCUCUAUUUCUUUUUCUCUCGCUACUGCUACUUUUCUACUUCCCCCAACCUUUCUUCCUCUUAUCUUCCCCUUAUAUCCCCCUUUCCGAAACAACAUCUCUUCUACAUAAACUCUCAGAUGAUCUAUGAUAUAUUUUAGAGGAAACAACAACAACAACCAGUUCGCACUCUUUCGCGGCGUUGCUAUGGUCCAGCCCGUUGUCCUGUUGCGUUUCGAGAUUUAUUUUAGACGAGAGAGUUUUUCAACGUCCCUGUCAAAUGAAAUGAAACGUCCUCUUUGGAAAUAAAAAAGAUAAACGAUAAGAAGUAUCUAAGUUCACAUUGCCGAGUAAUCUAUCGUUCAACGUUCGAUCUAGCAACGCCGUUUCUCUGCGAGAACACAUUCUUUUCUACACACAUUCUGAUUGUCUGCGAUUGAUAGUAUCUCUGGUUUUCAUGCCGAUGUCAGUGUCAAUGUAUUUUCUUUCUCUCUCUCUCUCUCUCUCUCUUUCUAAUACUCUUCUUUGCACCCUGUUUUCUUGUUUUGUUAACCAUUACACUCGUCUACUAGGCAAUGACAACUUUUGUUUUAGAUGGGAACGAAUAUAAAAAAAAUAAAAAAAAGGAAGAAACAACAAAAAAAAAAAGCGGCACUUGUUAUACAAAUCGCUUGAGAUAUACUUAGCUGUUGCACUUGCACCCCUUUUUCGAAAAAAAAAGGAUGAUCUUUCUUUCCGUUUAUUAAUUGCCUUUCACUCUUUGACGACACACCGAACUACUUGCUUGUUUAUAUUAUUUAAUAUAAUAGAUGUGUGCUCUGACUGACGUUGCAUAAUCCGUAAUGGUGUAUCUUGUCUGGAUGUAGAAUAAUAGGAGCCGCAAAAAAAAAAAACAUUGUUUUCUUGGCGUAGCUGUUAACGAUUAAAUUCUCGAGUAAAAUACAUAUUUAAUUGCACCCGCGUAUUUUGAAUCAUUCAAAAUGCGCGAGGUCUUUGGGGAAAUGAGAAAGUGUUCCGCAUAAAAGAGCCUUUGUAUGCGUGCAUACGUGCGUGCGUGCACCCGCGCGCGCGUGUGUGUGUGUGUGUGUAACCACUGUAGAUCUUUAAUUAGACGACACGAUUAGAAAAUAAAGAAGAAGAAGUAUUAAAAAUUGAUCGAUUACGGCAACCAGUUAAGAAAGAUUAAUUGAUCAGAAAUGUUUCCAAUUCGAUUCGAUUGAGAAAAGUAUAUAAGAUAAAAAGAAAAAAAAAAGUUUUUCGAAGAGAUACCUCGCAGAAAAUUUGUCAAAGUUUAAAAGCAAUAUUUCAAUUUUCUCUUCUAUCCUUUUAUACUUAUAGCGAGAUUAAGAUCUUUAAGAAAUCCUUCGAGUUGCCUUACUUUUUUCUUUUUCCCCCGUUCUAUGGGCUUGAAUUAAUUCAAGCUUCUUCAAGUGCCACUAGAAAAUGUAAAUAACUGUUAAAGGCACUUUUCUUCGGUAUUUUAGAAAGACAAGAAUAUGUAUCUCGAAAUAGCAUCUUGCAUAAGCGAGUGAAGUUUAUUCAGGAGUAUUAUCUACUCCGUUUAACGAACAAACGAUCCUAACUGUAUAUAUAUACAUGUAUAUGUAUAUGUAUAUAUACGCAUCGGAUUGACGCUUCAAUCUGUUUUGGCUUUCAUCGCAACAUUCACGGAACGUAAUCGGCGCUGUUUCGCGUUUAAUCAAUCGCGUAUUCAAGGUGUGGAUCCGUGACAAGGAGGGACAGGGACCAGGGACAGGGAUAGGGACAGGGAUAGGGAUUGGGAUAGGGAUAGGGGUCCGUAUUGAUAUCGAUCUGUAUCACUUUGUGCGCGCGCACGCAUAUAGAACAAACCAGAGGGAGAUAGAUGUAUCUAUAUAUCUCUCAUUCUCUCAUCCGAUAAGAUAUAACGUAGGUUAACUUCGAUCGAAACUCGAACAACAAGAGAGUCCUCUUAUCUAAGAGAGAGAAGAGUCCCUUUUCCUCUCUCGAGGGAAUUCGUGCUGCUAAGCUAAACGAGUGGGCCCCACGUCUGCGAUAAAAUUUCAAACUUGUACGCUCGGCGAACCAUAAAGUAGUAUGUCGUCAUCGAAUUUUCGAAACUUCUUCUUUUAUCGAUUCGCGUUAAAUGUCCUUUGUUCUACGACCUUCUCGAAUACUCCCAAUUCAAUUACUCAAAAACUCAUUUUAGAUUCAUUGAUUCGAAUUAAUCGUACCGUUUUUUCGAUGCUUUCAAUUCAAAUUAAAUGAUUGACCGAAUUAUCUUUGUUUUUGUUAAAUUAAAUGAUUUUCAUUAACGUUAGUUGAGAAUUUUGUUGUUUUUCCAGUGAUUAUAAGAAAAUAUAAUCUGUCUGAACGAAAUAAUGUGAAUUUUAAGAAUUUUUGAAGAUACUAGGUUUAUCAAUUUAGUAAAGAGAAAAAAAAACCGAUAUCUCAAUUUAGAGUUUAAUUAUCGUUACUAAAAAUCUUAUCAGUUAUCAAAGAGAUAUUAUAGAACACACCCUCGUGUACGUCACAACGGGGAGAAAAAAAAAAUUAAAUUAGAGAGGAAAAAAAAAUAUAGAUGACACAUCGCGGUAUAGAAGUUUAAGAAAUAUAUACGGGGGACGACUGCGGUGGUUUGAAUUCAACCGACAUUAUUUUUCGAGUUCUCGACGUAUAAUAUCUUUUCCCGACGUUAUAUUGUUAAUGAUUUGGAUUUUUAUUCGUCACCCCGGUAAAAUUCAAAGUACCGAGAGAAUAAAUAUAUAUUUCCAAAAUAAUAAAACGCGUUGAGAAUUUUACGACGAAAUGUUACGAAAUAACGUCGUCGCACGGGGUUGCAUUUUUCUACGUGACAUUUUGCACAGCUUCUUCGCAUAUUUACGUAAAUACAUUACUUCUCCACAUUUUUGGUUGGUGUAUAUGUAUGUAUGCGCGAUGACGUUAUGUGACACACGUUAACGGACACAUAAGUUCGCGCUUUUCUUUACUUUUCUCUCUCUCUUUCUUUAUUUCUUUCUCUUAACAUUCUCGUUGCACACGAGUAUGCAUAUCGCACAGUUUUCCUCGGUGAGAUCUUAAGUAAUUAAUCUUGGUCGCGACGUUAGACCCUUCAAUGCGUCUCAUUGACAAAGCAAAACCUUCGUUGCUUGUCCUUAAAAAUAAAAAGUUACAAAAAAAAGAAAAAUCCGAAACAAAAAGUAGAGAAAUGAAAGAAGCGAACUAACUAUGAUGGAAAGUUAUUUUGAACACUUUAUACAGGCUGAUUCACGAAAAAAAAGUCAAAUGUGUAACUUUUCAUGCAGUUUUAUAUACAGUGUUCAUUUUGAACAUCUGUAACAAGAGGUGUAAUGGUCAGAUCAUAAUCGGACAAUAAUUAAUUAUUAAUAAUAACAUAUUAGUUUUAUUUAAUGAAUUAAACGACGAGUAUUAUGUUUGGGAAACAUCUACGAUUAAUUUCAAUUUUUUUUUACUUUUUUUUUGAUGUCCAUGACCUUGAAUAUAGAUGACCAUUGAAUUUGUCUUGUGAAAAGGGCUACAAUUGUGGGUGUUCAAAAAUGCAUAGUUCCGUUUAAAAAAAAAUGACCUUUAAAUUUUCUAAGCGUUUCCGUUCGGCUAAAAAAUGAUACUCAUUGUAUAAACAACUUUUACUUCAAUUCAUUCUUUAUCGUUAUACUAAAAUUGUAGGAGUUAUUCGGGGUAGCCGACAGAGGUGUUAGCUGACUCAUCCUGUAUAUUACAAUGCAAUAUUAUAUAUAUAUAUAUAGUUCUUAUUAUCGAAGAAGUUGCACACCCACGGUUCAUUCCGUUAUAGAUGAACAUAUCUAAUGUUCUUGACGUCAAAAUCAAUGUUACCGAACAUUCUCAAAGUUUCGUUGUCAUCACUUUUUCCGUCGUAAGAAAAUCUUGCACUAGUUUAUGAAUUGCAUACGUUAAAUGCAAGUUAGUUGUGACGUGUUCAUAUAAAUUUUGACAUUAAACGUGACUUUAAAAAUCAUGCUUCAAAAAAUUCAUUACCUUUUUUUCGUGAAUCACUUUGUGUACAUUAUCGGUUUAUUUGAUAAACUCGUAAAAAUUUUCGAAUGAAAAUGUAACUAAAAAUGUAUACAAUUUUUAUAUAAUUACAUACAUAUAUAUAUUUUGUCCAUUAAAAAUAAUGACUAAUCGUCAGUUUCCAAAUGAAUCAGCAUGUACAUAUUACAUAUAUACGUCGCGUAGAGUCCCUACCUAAUGAACUUUUCAACGAGGAAACUUUAUACGUAUAAAUGGCGGCGUCUUUAACUUACGAGUGGGUACCGGAUUGAGUAAUUUAUAAUCCGAACUGUGCGAGAACGCUCGCACACUCUCACACAUACACACACAUACACACAAACACACGUAGAAACUUUAAUUGGAUCCCGUAGAAUCUUUUACCGAAGGAAAAGAUAUAUUCCGAGAUAUUUUGCCGGUUUGUAACAUAUCGUUAAAAUGACCUUACGUGGCAUCAUCGAUGCGUGUAAAUGCUGCUGCAAACAUCCUACCGUGACGAGAUCUUGCCACUCGUUAUGAAAUUUCGCAUAAUUUAUCAUGCGAAUAGAUACCUCCCAUGUAUAGACACUUCAGAGGAAGGAAUUAAAUGAUUGGCCUGAAUUUAUUCGGCUGAUUAAAACAACGCUUGGCAAUUAUUCUAUGCUCAUUCAGUCAAUUGGAUGAAUCCAAUUUCCGAAGAAGAAAAACGGAACUACUAUUCGUCCGAGGGAAAUGAUUUCGCUUAAUUGUUUUUACCGUAAGAUAUUUGACCCGACGGGGGUAGUUCAGUCUCGUCGAAUAUAGAGUAGAAUCAAAGCUAUCUCUAAAAUUUGAUCGAUCUUUACUUGCUCGAUAUCGAUAGGGAAAGCUUGCACAUCUAGUCGAGGAUUGUAUUUAGUAUUCGUGCACAUACUCUCGUUGAGUGAAUAGAGGGUUCUCUCUAUUUAUCGUAAUACGUAUUCGAAGCCCGAAUUUCUAAGAAAUCACCUUGCGUACAUUCGAUGCUAAACUUUUUUUAGUUGUGUUAUUAUGCUGGCCCGUAAUCGAUGCUCGAUCAUCAUCAUCAUCAUCAUCAUCAUCAUCAUCCUGCGUACAUCAUUUGUACUCUCGUAGAGAGGCGCUUGUGCUUUCGAUCAAAAAAAAAAUAACAAAAGAACACGACGACGCUGCAAAUCCGAGCAUUCGAAUUUUGUAGGAGUUUGGAUUUUUGAUUUUUGAUUACCUAUUUUUUAAAUACUAAAAUGAUGUAUUAUUCCAUCCGAUGAAAUCUCUCGUAACGAGUAUUAUUACGAUCGCAUUAUAUCAUCUACGUAUACGUACAUAAAAAAAGAAAAAGUAGAAAUUAAGGAAUCGAUCGAUGAGUGUGAUGCGAUGUGAUGAAAGAUGUUAAGAUGCCGAUUGCCGAUUAAAAAGUCAUGGUAGUAUUGUGUUGCUGUUAUUGUCGUUGCUAAUGCUCUUGCUAUUGUUCUCUUGUCGCUGUUUCUCUUUAAACGUUUGAACGUUGGUUGCGUCGAUAUAUCGCUGUUGUUUUAGCUGGCGCUCCCGUUGUGUUGUAACAUUAUUAUUGUAUCAAUGUUAAUAUUGAUUGUAUUGUAUUUAUCUCUUAAACACAUCGUGUUUUAAUAACGUCAUUGUGAUCUGUUUCUCAUGGGAUAUAAUAUAUUCCAUUUCUUAUCGUUAAUAUAUCGUUUACAUCGGGCAUAGUGAAUAAAAUAAUUUUAUUCAUUUUCUUCAACAUUUUGUAGAGUUUUUAUCUGAUUACGAAAGUAUUUAUAUACAUAGAUACAAAUUAUUUCACAUGUCGAUGUAAAAAGUAAAAAAGAAAAAAAGAGAGAUACAGUAAAAAUCGAUGAACAUUAAACGGAAAUAUUAUUUAACAA
This 5975-nucleotide long non-coding RNA is filed under the name Polistes fuscatus (common paper wasp). RNAcentral's name for it is "uncharacterized LOC122516673". The record is from RNAcentral. Lineage: Eukaryota; Metazoa; Arthropoda; Insecta; Hymenoptera; Vespidae.